Molecule: ribosomal RNA, 467 nt
Filed under: uncultured bacterium
Lineage: Bacteria
Description: partial 16S ribosomal RNA
Rfam family: Bacterial small subunit ribosomal RNA
Source: RNAcentral
GAUGAACGCUGACAGAAUGCUUAACACAUGCAAGUCCACUUGAAUUUGGGUUUUUAACUUAGGUUUGGGUGGCGGACGGGUGAGUAACGUGUAAGAAACUUGCCUCCCAGUUAGGGACAACAUUUGGAAACGAAUGCUAAUACCUAAUUUUAUGUUAAUAGGGCAUCUUUUAAUUAUGAAAGCUAUAAGCGCUGUGAGAGAGCUUUGCGUCCCAUUAGCUAGUUGGUGAGGUAACGGCUCACCAAGGCGAUGAUGGGUAGCCGGCCUGAGAGGGUGAUCGGCCACAAGGGGACUGAGACACGGCCCUUACUCCUACGGGAGGCAGCAGUGGGGAAUAUUGGACAAUGGACCGAGAGUCUGAUCCAGCAAUUCUGUGUGCACGAUGAAGUUUUUCGGAAUGUAAAGUGCUUUCAGUUGGGAAGAAACAAAUGACGGUACCAACAGAAGAAGUGACGGCUAAAUACGUG